Molecule: ribosomal RNA, 253 nt
Filed under: uncultured bacterium
Lineage: Bacteria
Description: partial 16S ribosomal RNA
Rfam family: Bacterial small subunit ribosomal RNA
Source: RNAcentral
UACGUAGGGUGCAAGCGUUGUCCGGAAUUAUUGGGCGUAAAGAGCUCGUAGGCGGUUUGUUGCGUCGGCUGUGAAAUCCCGAGGCUCAACCUCGGGUCUGCAGUCGAUACGAGCAAACUAGAGUGUUGCAGGGGAGACUGGAAUUCCUGGUGUAGCGGUGAAAUGCGUAGAGAUCGGGAAGAACAUCAGUGGCGAAGGCGGCCUGCUGGGCUGUUGCUGACGCUGAGGCGCGACAGCGUGGGGAGCAAACAGG